GGGGGUGUAGUUCAGUUGGUCAGAACGCCGGCCUGUCACGCCGGAGGUCGCGGGUUCGAGCCCCGUCGCUCCCGCCA
Molecule: transfer RNA, 77 nt
Filed under: Magnetococcales bacterium
Lineage: Bacteria; Pseudomonadati; Pseudomonadota; Magnetococcia; Magnetococcales
Description: tRNA-Asp
Rfam family: tRNA
About the family: Transfer RNA (tRNA) molecules are approximately 80 nucleotides in length.
Source: RNAcentral